Long non-coding RNA from Xenopus laevis (African clawed frog), 3028 nucleotides. RefSeq lists it as uncharacterized. NCBI's taxonomy places the organism in Eukaryota, Metazoa, Chordata, Amphibia, Anura, Pipidae. The record is from RefSeq and is a predicted model, not a curated record. The transcript has 3 exons.
UCUGGGGUUGGGCUUGGGCGCCAGCGUAAAUUUUGUUGUAUGGGGCCCCGUGGUUUCUAAUGACGGCCCUGCUUCGGGGUGACUAAUCUCCCAGAACUGCCUCCGUUUCCUCGUGAGGCAACUUCGGGUGACUUCGGAAAACGAAUUGUUCUGAGUGCUAUCACACCGGCGAUUUACACUCUAGCCGGUGGGAGGCAGUUCGGGGAGAUUAGUCGCCCCGAAGAAGAGGAGAUUUGUCGCCGGACAACUAAUCUCCCAAAUCUGAGAGUGUGCCCUCACCCUUAGGCUCUUCACUUUUCUCUCCCCUUCAUCUCCUCCCCCUUCCCUUGGCUUUCUCCUACCUUCACCUUCUGCCCUCCAUUUUGCUUUUUUCUUCUCAUCCCCUUUAAUGUUUUUGCCAAGAAGGAAGAUGUAGAAAGUUUUUUUCUAAGAAAAAUGUAUCAAUUAGUAUAUGGAGAGCAAUUCAUAUGUCAGUCGUCAUGUACACUUCUUAUCUAAUGUGUGUUAUUUCUUAUGCCAAAUGUGGUUAUACCAACGUAGGCAAUAUUUAUAUUCUUCAUAUUUCAUUGUUUUCUCACAGGGGCCAUUAAUAUAAACAUUCUUGCCUCUCUCCACAUUGUAUUCUGAGUAGGAAGAUACAUGGGACUAGGCUUGCCACCUGAUCGGUUUUGACCCGAACAGUUCGGUUUUUCUAAGGCCUGUUCGGGUUUUCUAAAUAAGCCAGAGCUUUCUGGAUAACUGAUUUCUGUAUAAUAGACCCCAUACCUGUAAUUAAAGUAAUGGGUUUACAUAUCAGGCAGAAUAUAGAUAAGUGAUAGGGUUGCCACCAGUGUUGCGGUUUGCAACAUAAACUCAAUGGAAAUCCAGGCAGUUAUGUCUAAGUGACCACCUUCUUCAUUCUGCCUGCCUCUUAUGUCAUCACUGCUCCACCCCCAAUUCUAUCUGAUCAGCCCUUUGUUUGGGUUUAGCGUCAGCAAAAGUAGCAACCCUACAUGGGACAAAGUGUUGCCAAUGGAUUACAUAGCAUUAAUGAGAAUUAAAGACUGAGAGAGAUCACUUUGAUCCACAUACAAUGAAAUUGGUCUUAGAGAGGACCCCUGACACAUGCUUUAUCUACACCUGACUUGUUAGACUGCUGGUUAGUGACACAGAGGGAAUAUCCAACCGCCCUGGAUUUAUACAUGGGACCGGGUGAAAACAUUGUUGGGAUGUAAUAUGGCAUGGUUGGAGGAAAAACUAAGUGUGCCCGUCUGUAUCGGAGUAAUUGGGGCAUGGCCUCAGGUGUCUUAGAUAUUGUCUUAAAUUAGGGUACGGGUAAAUUGCCUUAGAGUUCUACUGUCUAUAACGUGUUAAAAGAUAAUAUUAAAGUGAAUGUCUUUAACUUUUUUAAUUGCUUUUCAAAAUCAUUAUUUGUUAACAUUUUCUUUUCUUUAUUACAGCAGAAGUUAUAAAAGCACAAUUCUUUAUUUUAAGUGACUUUACCUUUAUCUUCAGUAUGUUUCCUGGGAAUACACCUUGCAGUGAACUGCCUUUGCAUGCUACUGAAAAUUAUAACAUCUUAAUUUUUGUAUUUUUCAGUUUAUUUUAAUGUAACAGUGGUGUGUACAGUAAAUACAUGAUAAUGAUGAUGCAAAAACUACUGACUGACAGCUUGCACAGCAAGAGUGACCAGACUGUGGAGGCAGCAUUGCCCAAAACCAGACGACAUGGAAACAGAGGAUGAAAUGGUGAAAAAACCCUUAUUUAGUCCAUAUUAGUAAAACAAAGACACCUGGACAAAAAUGUUUGGAAACAAUGACAACUUAAAUACCCUCUGUUAACCCUACCCUGGAAGUGGUAGCUAAGUACAGUCCGCUGCCCAGUAAAGUACAACUAGAUGGGGAAAAACAUACAUUAAUAUUUAUUUGACUUAUUAAGUUAAUACAUUCUUGUAUUCUGCAUUUAAAUGACCUGGAGGUGCUCCCGCCAAGCAUGUUGAAUGCAACACUUUUUACAUGUCAAGCACAAAUUGUCUGGAAUGGAUCAACAGUGUUGUGUCCCUUUGUAUGUUUUCAGGAGUCAGCAGCAAGAAUCCAACAAGCAGGAAGUGCAGAAUGGAAAGUAAAAGUAAUAGCCUGCUAUGCCUCUGAGAUUUUGAAAAGAGUUUUUAACAGGCCUGAACAGUGACAAAAGCAUGAGAAGCAGAGACAUCCUGCUCUGUAUAGUUCUUUAAACUGUGUCUCCAUUUAAAUAAUAAUCUGAGCAAUAAUCCAGUGGUAUAUCAAUCAUCCCGCUAUGCUGAAAAUGUUAGGCUGCAAUACAUAAGAGAACAGUAGUGAAUCAUUUGUUCCGUGGUAGGAAAAUAAAUAUUGAAAACAACCUACUGCAGAUUGGCUCUUACCUGUCAUUGUUGCAAAACACAUCCUUUCAAUGUUAAACUCGAAGGGUGGUUAAGAAGUACAAUAUGUCCUUGUAUUCAUCUUUGAAAUGUAAUAGAUGUACUGCAUGAUGGAGAUUUUUGCUCCACAAUGCUUUAAAAAAUUGGAUGUGCAAGGUAUGCUGUAAGCUUUAUUGGUCGGAAGUUGAAUAAAAAGCAAUCUAGUGCUUUAUGCAAGCAAACAGCAGAUAAAACAUUUGGAUCAAUGGAGUGGGUUAUUUCUGGUUUUCCAAGAGGUUACAACAGUGAUGUAUAGCAGUAUACAUUUAAAAAAAAAAAAAACCGUAAUACAGUAAUAAAAAAUAUAUAUAAUUGUGUAAAAUAAAAGAGAAAAUAACUGAAUCUGUAGAUGACCAUAAAAAAAUAUUAUUUGGAGUGUUAAUGGAGAAGUAAUGGUUCAAUCACAGAGGGUUACCAAGUUGUUAGUCACCCCUGGUGAUUAUAGUCACUUACCUUACAUAUUUUUGUGAAUAAGAUACAAGUUGCAGCUAGCAUUUUCAUACUGGCAUUUCACUUUCAGAUGUUCAUAUCAAAAAUGACAGUGGCAUUUGAUUCAUUGGGCCCAAGUUUGUAGCAACUAUUGAAGCUUCCAGUUAUGGAAACUCUGCAAUA